GGACAGAGUUAGAGGACCAAAGGGA
This 25-nucleotide non-coding RNA is filed under the name Cricetulus griseus (Chinese hamster). The record is from RNAcentral. Lineage: Eukaryota; Metazoa; Chordata; Mammalia; Rodentia; Cricetidae.